This 428-nucleotide ribosomal RNA is filed under the name uncultured marine bacterium. Its description in RNAcentral is "bacterial SSU rRNA". It matches the Rfam family "Bacterial small subunit ribosomal RNA", at positions 360 to 804 of the family's 1533-position model. The record is from RNAcentral.
AAUCUUGCGCAAUGGGCGAAAGCCUGACGCAGCGACGCCGCGUGGGGGAUGAAGGCCUUAGGGUUGUAAACCCCUUUCACGAGGGAAGAAACUGACGGUACCUCGAAAAGAAGCCCCGGCUAACUACGUGCCAGCAGCCGCGGUAAUACGUAGGGGGCGAGCGUUGUCCGGAUUUAUUGGGCGUAAAGGGCUCGUAGGCGGCUUGGCAAGUCGACCGUGAAAGCCCAGGGCUUAACCCUGGGAGGCCGGUCGAUACUGCCAUGGCUAGGGUCCGGUAGAGGGGAAUGGAAUUCCCGGUGUAGCGGUGAAAUGCGUAGAUACCGGGAGGAACACCAGUGGCGUAAGCGGCUUGCCAGACGCAUCCUGACGCUGAGGUACGAAAGCGUGGGUAGCGAACCGGAUUAGAUACCCGGGUAGUCCACGCCGCA